GUCAUUUCCGUAACACGGGCUGAAAAUUUAAGCUGUAGAAAAGGGGAGAUAAUACGAAUAUAGCGUUCAUGUCGUUUAUGACGUCAUCGCCCUUUUACGUUUUGCAUGGAAGAAAGAUGGCAGAUGAAGACAACGGUAUGUAUGUUUUGUUAAUCUUUUUACACACAAAUAAUCACGUAUGUUUUUAUUGAGUCAUUGCCGUAC
RNAcentral lists this long non-coding RNA (204 nucleotides) under Mytilus galloprovincialis (Mediterranean mussel). Lineage: Eukaryota; Metazoa; Mollusca; Bivalvia; Mytilida; Mytilidae. The record is from RNAcentral.